GCAAGUCGAACGGUAACAUAGCUAGCUUGCUAGCUGAUGACGAGUGGCGAACGGGUGCGUAACGCGUAUGCAACCUACCUCUUAUUAAGGGAUAGCUCAGAGAAAUUUGAAUUAAUACCUUAUAAUAUCUUAAAGCCGCAUGGUUUAAAGAUUAAAGAAUUUCGAUAAGAGAUGGGCAUGCGUGAUAUUAGCUAGUUGGUAAGGUAACGGCUUACCAAGGCAACGAUAUCUAGGGGGUCUGAGAGGAUGAUC
RNAcentral lists this ribosomal RNA (252 nucleotides) under uncultured bacterium. Its description in RNAcentral is "partial 16S ribosomal RNA". It matches the Rfam family "Bacterial small subunit ribosomal RNA", at positions 57 to 305 of the family's 1533-position model. The record is from RNAcentral.